This 834-nucleotide ribosomal RNA is filed under the name uncultured organism. RNAcentral describes it as "bacterial SSU rRNA". It matches the Rfam family "Bacterial small subunit ribosomal RNA", at positions 507 to 1328 of the family's 1533-position model. The record is from RNAcentral.
GCCAGCAGCCGCGGUAAUACGAAGGUGGCGAGCGUGUUCGGAAUCACUGGGCUUAAAGGGCACGUAGGCGGACCUUCAAGCGUCUUGUGAAAUCCCUCGGCUCAACCGAGGAAUUGCGAGGCGAACUGUUGGUCUUGAGGCAGGCAGGGGCGCGCGGAACUCUUGGUGGAGCGGUGGAAUGCGUAGAUAUCAAGAGGAACGCCAGAGGCGAAGGCGGCGCGCUGGGCCUGUCCUGACGCUGAGGUGCGAAAGCCAGGGGAGCGAACGGGAUUAGAUACCCCGGUAGUCCUGGCCCUAAACGAUGUCCACUAGGUCGACGGCUCUCUGACGAGUUAUCGGCCGAAACAAAAGCGAUAAGUGGACCGCCUGGGGAGUACGGUCGCAAGGCUAAAACUCAAAGGAAUUGACGGGGGCUCACACAAGCGGUGGAGCAUGUUGCUUAAUUCGAUGCAACGCGAAGAACCUUAUCCUGGGCUUGACAUGUAUGGAUGCCUCCCUGGAAACAGGAUUGGUUGCCCUUCGGGGUGAAACAUACACAGGUGCUGCAUGGCUGUCGUCAGCUCGUGUCGUGAGAUGUCGGGUUAAGUCCCGUAACGAGCGAAACCCUUGUCGUUAGUUGCCAGCGUGUCUUCGGAUGACGGGGACUCUAACGAGACUGCCGGUGUCAAACCGGAGGAAGGUGGGGAUGACGUCAAGUCCUCAUGGCCUUUAUGCCCAGGGCUGCAAACGUGCUACGAUGACCGGGACAAACCGACGCGAGACCGCGAGGUGGAGCAAAUCGGUAAACCCGGCCUCAGUUCGGAUUGGAGUCUGCAACUCGACUCCAUGAAGUUG